AUUGAACGCUGGCGGCAGGCCUAACACAUGCAAGUCGAGCGGAUGAAGGGAGCUUGCUCCUGGAUUCAGCGGCGGACGGGUGAGUAAUGCCUAGGAAUCUGCCUGGUAGUGGGGGAUAACGUCCGGAAACGGGCGCAAAUACCGCAUACGUCCAGAGGGAGAAAGGGGGGGAUCAUCGGACCUCACGCCAUCAGAUGAGCCUAGGUCGGAUUAGCUAGUUGGUGGGGUAAAGGCCUACCAAGGCGACGAUCCGUAGCUGGUCUGAGAGGAUGAUCAGUCACACUGGAACUGAGACACGGUCCAGACUCCUACGGGAGGCAGCAGUGGGGAAUAUUGGACAAUGGGCGAAAGCCUGAUCCAGCCAUGCCGCGUGUGUGAAGAAGGUCUUCGGAUUGUAAAGCCCUUUAAUUUGGGAGGAAGGGCAGUAAGUUAAUACCUUGCUGUUUUGACGUUACCAACAGAAUAAGCACCGGCUAACUUCGUG
RNAcentral lists this ribosomal RNA (484 nucleotides) under uncultured bacterium. RNAcentral describes it as "partial 16S ribosomal RNA". It matches the Rfam family "Bacterial small subunit ribosomal RNA", at positions 30 to 507 of the family's 1533-position model. The record is from RNAcentral.